Molecule: long non-coding RNA, 2671 nt
Organism: Notothenia coriiceps (black rockcod)
Lineage: Eukaryota; Metazoa; Chordata; Actinopteri; Perciformes; Nototheniidae
Exons: 3
Source: RefSeq, a predicted model, not a curated record
UACAUGCCUGCUGCAGCUCCUAUGCAAGGAACCUACAUUCCCCAGUACUCUGCAGUGCCUGCCUCUGCCAUCACAGUGGAAGGUGUGGUGACAGACCCUUCUUCACAGACAGCUCCCCCCUCCUCACAGGACGCCAGCGGGCAGCAGCCUUUAUCAGUGGAGAACACAGAUCAUGCCACAGCCUACUCUUACCAGCAGAAAUAACAAGAUUGUUGGGAAUCGCUGCUGCAUCGCCUUCAGAAGGACUGCACUGAGGCGCUGGACACACAGAGAGAAUCCAAAUGAAACAGGGACAAAAAAAGAGGUGGCGUGGGCAACACUGAGGGGAGAAGGCUUCCACUGUGCACAUGCACCAAAUAAAAGACAAAAUGAAAAAAAUCUAUUAAAUCUAUUAUAUUUCCUACCUGGUCGAACGAAGAAAGAAAAAAGAAAGGCUGGUUUGCUGAACUCGAGGACAAUGAAAUCAAAUGCAGUCUGCAACUUUGAGUUUAUCAUUUCUCACUGUGGGACUGGACUUUGCCUCCAAAGGAAAAAGAGAAGACAUAAAGUGAAAUCUAAACUCAACCAACAAGCUGUAGAGAAAGAAAAAAAAGAACAUUUGAAUGUGCAGGUAGAUUUUCAGCCUUUUUUAUAAAAAAAAAAGAAGGAAGCAAAGUCUAGGGGAAAAAAACAGUUUGUCUUCCUUUGAUAUUAAGCUACAUUAUUUUUAUUAUUUGAGUAGUUUUCUAGAAUAUCAAUGUUUUCGUAAAUCUUUAUUGCCUUAAUUUUCUCAAACUUUGGGGAAAAAUAGUUUCCAUAGUGUUGAAUUAUUAUAAAAAAUAAUGAUGAUGAUUUGAGAUUUUCUUGGAGAGUUCCAAGAGCGACCGAGAUGAAAUCUACAAAGCUAUUUGUACAGGAUUAAAAAAAAAAAAGGUUGUUAUUGUAUGAAGAUGAUUUUAAAUUAUGUGGUGCAGUGCAGCUGAUGUUGGUUGAUAGGAAAAAAAAUCCUCUUUAAUAUGACUAUUGGGAAGGGUCAAUCCACUGCUUCCUGGAAAAUGCAGUCAAGUUUAAUGGGAUAAAAGUUCUGUUAUUCCAUCACAUUUGUAUCUUUUGAGUUUUGAUUGCAGCCUUUUUACCUUCAAAGACGUUUUUGCUUUGCCUGCUUUGCUUGUCUCACUGCAAAAAAGAAAAGUACAAAAAAAGGAACAAAUCUGACUUUGACAAAAGCAGAAAAAACGCUAGGAUUUUUAAAUGUGCAAAAGCAAUAGUUUUAGUAAAACUGUUGACAGUUUCUUGAGUCUUUCUUAAACGUUGAACAAAAGCAGCCAACAGGUGGCGUAUUUUAUACCAAAGAUGAAGAAACUAGGUAGUGAAGAGAUUUUCCUUGUGUUGCUUUUCCUUCAUUUUUCACCUCCUUAAAACCUGAAACGGACCUGUCUUGCUGUCAUGCUGUUGGCCUUUGAGACAAUUUCAUCAGUCACAUGUUGUGGGUCUGCUAUACAACUGCCUCAACCAGAAGAGUGUGCUCUGAGACGUUUGUUGUUGUCAUGUGAUCAAACGUGGUGAGGAUCCAAAGUGCGUUGGAACAUCUGUGAGAGACCAGACACCCUGUGGCCAUAUGGCAUGGAGAAAGUGGAGGAGGUUGUUAUAAUAUUGGGAAGUUGGUAUAGAACACUUUGGUGGUAAAGAGGUUGACAUCCUGUAGAAUAUUGAUUAAACCUGUACGCCCUACCACGCCUUCUUCAGGCUGCAUUGACUAAUCUUUACUCAAAUGACUCCUAAAUGCUGGUGUAGCUCAUUACAACACUAUUUUUUUAAUCAUUAGACUCAGUUUAUAUGUUUUACUCCAAUGUCUUGCCAAACGCAAGCCUUUUCAAAUGUGAGCAGGGCGAGGAUCUAUCUUAAAGAAAGGGCAUUUCUGUUGAACAAAUCAUUUCAGCUUAUGUACAUUCUAAGAGGAAGAGGAGAGAUAUUUUGUUUUUCUAUUUGUGUUACACUUUUUUUGAGAAUUGAUUACGUGUGAGCUGCUGUUAUUAGGGAUUGAGGUAGUUGUGUGUUGGGUGGGUUCAGAAGAGGGGACGGUGACAGAAUAACAUUUGGAGCCAAGAUAGGGACAGUUUAUUGUUAUCCAUGACUCAACUGUAUUUAAAAAACAUUCUACAAGUCAGGUGCCUCUUUUCAAGUGUGAGAAAAGAUAGGUUCCUUGUUGCAGCCCUAUUAUGAGAUUAGGAAUCUCUUUUUGAAUAAUAAUAAUCUGCAUUAUGUAAUGCGUAAGAGGGCAUCUGUUGAAAACGAAAACACCUCUGGACAUUACCUUGCACCUACUUGAGCCUCCAUCAAUGAAAAGAAGCCAAUGGAGGUGUGGGAACAGACGGACACACAGAAAAUGCACGGUUCAACUCUAUGGGAAAAAUACAUUAUUGAAAGAAGAGAGCAAGUAGAGAAAGUGAGAACAAAAGUAAUAUUUAUGAGAUCUUUUUGUUUGUACAGGUGUGUAAAAGAAGAUGCAACAGAAAUAACUGAUGAUGCUAUUUUUUUAUUUGCUUGAUCACAUGCAUCCCAUGUCUUUCAAAUUGUGAUUCUGAGAGUGUCUGUAGAACCAGUGGAUAUUGCUGUAGUUUCAACUGUCUCUUUUCUUUUUUGUUUCCUUUUUAGACAAAUCUUUCAAUAAAAAAAUGUUUCAAACAGUCAA